This 429-nucleotide ribosomal RNA is filed under the name Actinomycetes bacterium. RNAcentral's name for it is "Actinobacteria bacterium partial 16S ribosomal RNA". It matches the Rfam family "Bacterial small subunit ribosomal RNA", at positions 355 to 776 of the family's 1533-position model. Lineage: Bacteria; Bacillati; Actinomycetota; Actinomycetes. The record is from RNAcentral.
UAGGGAAUCUUCCGCAAUGGGCGAAAGCCUGACGGAGCAACGCCGCGUGAGUGAUGAAGGUCUUCGGAUCGUAAAACUCUGUUAUUAGGGAAGAACAAAUGUGUAAGUAACUAUGCACGUCUUGACGGUACCUAAUCAGAAAGCCACGGCUAACUACGUGCCAGCAGCCGCGGUAAUACGUAGGUGGCAAGCGUUAUCCGGAAUUAUUGGGCGUAAAGCGCGCGUAGGCGGUUUUUUAAGUCUGAUGUGAAAGCCCACGGCUCAACCGUGGAUGGUCAUUGGAAUCUGGACAACUUGAGUGCAGAAGAGGAAAGUGGAAUUCCAUGUGUCGCGGUGAAAUGCGCAGAGAUAUGGAGGAACACCAGUGGCGGAGGCGACUUUCUGGUCUGUAACUGACGCUGAUGUGCGAAAGCGUGGGGAUCAAGCAGG